RNAcentral lists this long non-coding RNA (42957 nucleotides) under Medicago truncatula (barrel medic). RNAcentral describes it as "long non-coding RNA (MTRU_LNC001294)". Lineage: Eukaryota; Viridiplantae; Streptophyta; Magnoliopsida; Fabales; Fabaceae. The record is from RNAcentral.
UGGCGGAUGAUUAUUGAGUGGUUCGGAGGAGGAGGAGGAGUCAGCACCGCGAACAACCUGAGCCCACGGAGAAGUAAGGUUUUUUGGCGGGAAAUUAGAGGAAGAAUCAGGUGCGGUGGUAGUAACCAUUGCCCACGGAGACUUAAGUCACGCAGAGCUUAUGAGGUGCGUGAGUUAAGUCUCGCUGCGUAACUUAACUCACGCAGGUCAAAUUUGAAAAAAGUGCAGGCGCGAGCGAAAUGUGUAGGGUGAAGAGGAGAAUUCAAAUUAUCUUGACAUAUAUGGGCUUUGAAUUAUUAGUAGUUGGCCCAUUGAGUUAGGGUAAACACAAAUAAAAAAGCGGGUACAAAGAAGAAAAUUAGGAAAAUAUAGAGUUAAAUGUUUUAUGAUUCUGUAAAUUUUCUAACUUUUUGGUAAAAAAGAAAAUCAACUUUAUAUUUUAGUCCCUAAUUUUUUUUCCUACUUUUAGUCUUAAAAAUAAAUUCGCCAAUAUUUUUUUGUCUCUUCUUUUAGGUUAGAGCAUGUGUACCGUUUAUAUUUUAGAGUGAAUUUACAUGAAUGUUUAAAAUAUUAUAAUAAUCUUAAAAAAAACAUAAAUUAAAUAUGCGUCUAAAACAUAAAAGUUCAUAUUUAAUUCGUUAAUUUUUUUUUGACAAAUUCCUUUAAUAUUCUAAAAAUAAAUGCGAAAAAAUCCAAAAUUUUGAAGGAUACAUAUAAAUUGAUUUAAAGAGCAAAAUUUUGAAAGAUACAGAUAAAUUGACUUAAAAGUUAGAAUUAUUUUUGAUAGAAACUUAAAAUUUAAAAUAUUUAUAAGGAGCAUGUACUUAUUUAAUUAAAAUAAUUCACACACAUGUGAGAAUAAAUGAAAUAAAUAGUCCUUCAAAAAAAAAAUGAAAUGUUAGCUCGUUCUCGUGAACUUAACUCAGUUGAAAGUGAUAAUGCAUAAUUAAUAUAAUAUGCAAGGUUUGAAAUCCAAACUUUAACCACCAUCAAAAGUUGGUAACUCGGAUUCCCCACUCCUUCGCAUUAAAAAUGUGUGAGCUCCAAGCACUAGGCUAGUUGAAAAGAAAUGAAAAAAAUUAAAUAAAAUAAAUAAUAAUGAUUAGAUUAAAAUAUAAGAGACCAUAUCUCUUCCUUCCCCCAUCUCUCUCUUCUAAUUCUCAAACCCUAGUCGUCACCCCUUUUCUUCUUCUUCUUUUUAAAUGAGUGAUUUAAGGUCAAUUUUGACCCAAAAAUCACCCAUCCGAAUUGUUUUUCCUUCUAUUCUAAUUCAAUAAGUGAUUUUCUGCUUUCUUUCGUUUGUUUUUGUGAUUUCAUCGUCUCUGAACGACUUUGUUUGUUUUGAUUUCCCGUCUUUGUGCGAUGUGUUUUUGAUUUCCCGUCUUAGUGCGCUGUUUAUUUGAUUCAGGUUGAAAGAUUAGCUUUGAGCAAGUGCAAAUCCGAUCAAUGACAAUGACUUUGGCGUCGUCAACGUUGCAGAUCCAGAGACAUGAGUAUUCCGGAGACAUAAAUAUAGUCAUAUUAAUCAUGUUGGUAAGCAUAUGUACUUUGCCGUUUUAUGCUAUUAACAUGGAUGUUGUUAGUUUGUUCACAUAUUCAUCAUUUUUGUUUUUAGCGAAUUUAGAUUUGUAUUGUAUCGAUGUACUCUAUCAAUUUGAAUGCAUGAAUAUUGUUAAUUUUGGAAAGAAAAAAAAAAAAAAAAAGAUUGAGAUUAAAACAUAGCUAAGAGAGUCACGUGCGAUUCACAUGUUCUCUUUUACAGGUUACCCCAACCCUUUUCUUCUCAUUGAUGCGUUUCCAGCACUCUGCUUUCUCUAAACGUCGACGAUUCUGUCCAUCGACGACACCAAUUCCGGCCAUCUCCCUCGCAUUCCGACCAUAUCAAUCUCUGUUUAGGGUUACCGCUGAAGAGGGAAAAACAGAAAACAGAGCAUUCCUCUCUCCUUCAAGUUCCGGUUUGAACCUCUGACGAAGAAUCAUCCUCCGUUUCCAUCUUCAUUCUUCACUCCUAAAACAGAGGUUCUCCCAUUCUUUCCAUCUUCCUUCAUAUUUUUAUAUGAAUAUGAAUAAGUUGGUGUUAAGUUAACUAUGGUUCUGUUUCCGUAUGUUCAAUGCAUAAUUAUAAACAACAAUGUGAAUGAAAAUACUUAUGUGAUUGUUACUAUAAAGUCAGCUGUAGCAUUAUCCUCACGCAAAGUGUGUUGCAAAUUAACCAUCCACAUUUGUGAAACACAUUCAAACCCAAUAAGAUCCCAAUUUUUUGUGAUGAAAUACACACCCACAGUCAGGCCCAACCCAAUACAUUUCAAUUUCAUCAUGUUGAGUCUGAGAGACACAACACUUUCUUAUAGCCAGAAUCCCAACAUAAAGUGUGUGUAUGUGUGCCCAAAUAGAGUGUUCAAACGCUUGUGACCAAGAAAGCAUUUUGCCUAUUUUUCAAUUGACGAAUACUGGUGUAUACUAUUGCUGCAUACAUACAUACCUUCAAUGUCUCUGUUAUGUAAUUUCUCAUUGUUGUCAUUUAAGCUUGCUAUGCGAAUUUAGCCUAGUAAUUAAUUUCCUAUAACUAAUAACUUCUUGCUUUUCCCUCCAUAGUUGACAAAUAAAUGGCUGUGGAGGCUUCAGAUGGAUCAGUAACUUUUAAAAGUAGCUCAGCGUCGAAGAGUAAUCAAUUGUAUUCAGAAAUGAGGAAGUCAACUUCUCAUAGUCAUGAUGAACUGUCAUAUAAAAACACCUCUGAUGUGUCUUCUUCAAAUGGCCAAACUUCUAGCUCACAAAAUGGUAAGGUUGUCCCAUCCGCUAAGGCGUCUGCCGUGGAAUCUUCUGUUGGCAAUACAAAAGCAUCAACAUCAAAUCUCAAAACUCAGAGAAAUAAAGAUCUCAUUAAUGUGAAUGAGGAAAAUAAUUCUACAAAACAUCUUAAAGAAGACAGAUGUGAAGAUUCUGAAGAGGAGGAUAGUAUACCAUUGAGUGCUAUUAAGAUGAAGAUGAACAAUGGCAAUGUUAAGAAAGCAACUCCUGAUGUUCUCAAGAAAUCAUACGAAGACUCUGAUGAUGAUGAUAUUCCUUUAUCAGCAAGGUUUCCAAAGAAUACUAAUCUGGGAAAAUAUAGUUGUAACUUUGAUGAUUCUAAUAAACAGGAAAUGACAUCUAUGUUGUCUGUUAAGAGACCACUAGAUAAAAUUGACUCAUUACAUUCUUCAGGUAAGAAGUCAAAACUCUCAGAUCCAGCUUCAUCAAUUAAUGCUAAACAAACAACGAUGAAAGAUGCGAAGGCUGAGGAGGAAGAGGAGGAUGAUGAUAUUCCUAUUUCCCGAAGAAGGAACAAAUUGGUCAAUAAAUCAUCUUCCUUGAAGAAGUUGACAAAUGUCACUAAAGUCAAUAAGGGAGCUGCUCCAUCUUUUAAGAAAAAGUCGAAGUUAAAAAAAUCAGGCAAUAAAUCAAAACAUGUCAAAUCUACUAAACUUCAAUCAAGCUCCGGUGAUGGGCAAAAAAAAUGGACUACUUUGGUUCACAAUGGUGUCAUCUUCCCACCUCCUUACAAGCCUCAUGGGGUAAAGGUUCUCUAUAAAGCGAAGCCAGUAACUUUGACCCCAGAACAAGAGGAGGUAGGAUUUUGCUUAUGAAUAAUGUUUUCAUGGUUUUGGGUAACUGUUUGCUCUUGCUUUUUUUGUUUUGUAUUUGUUGAGAAUUUCACAUUGGAUUGACGUGGUUUGCAAAAUGUGUCUAUAAGUGGAAGAUAUUCCUCAUUUUACAAGCUUAUAAUUUGUGCAGUUGAGUUAGGCUCUCUCCAAAUCCUAAGUAGCAACAGACCCUAUUAUAGAUCCUGGUUGGAACCCGUUAUCGGGCUAUUGGUUCAUCUCAUUAUGUUCAAUCAUAUGGGUGUGAGAGAGGUGUUGAGGGUCUCACAUUGAAUGCGAUAGAGCUUGAAAUUGAGUUUAUAAGUGAUGUAUAUUUCUUACCUUACAAGUCGGCUUUGUGCGUUUGAGUCAAGUACUUUUAUGUGAGAGUUCUCAUAUUAAAAAGUAGAGUUUCUGAUAAUAUUAUGAACUUGGAAUAUACAUGCAGGUUGCCACAAUGUUUGCAGUCGUCGAUGCAAAAUACAUGCAAAAUGAAAUAUUCAAGGAUAAUUUUUGGAAUGACUGGCGGAAAUUGCUAGGAGAAAAUCACGUAAUUCAGAAUUUAAAAGAUUGUGACUUUACACCGAUUUAUGAUUGGUGCCAGGUUGAAAAGGAUAAGAAGAAACAAAUGAGUUCAGAGGUAAGUUGUUUCAUAUAUUUUCAUUUGAAAAUGAUAGAAUCAAAAUUAAUAUCUCAAAGCAUCAUUUGUUUUUUUCAUAAAAUAUUGUGUGCUUCCAAUAUUACAUCCGGAGAUUUGUUUUUUUGAAAAUAAACUUUCCAUCUAGCUGGUUUAGUUCUUUAAUAAUCUUUACUCUUCAAAUCACGGUUUUCAAACUUGUAGAUUCUACAUUGGAUUGGACAGGAUAUUUAGGCAUGUAAAACUUGUGACAGACAAAAUACGUCAUAACACCUAACAUUAACUAUAAUAUUAUUAAAACUGAAUUAAAAUUAUAUACCAUUUUUAAGUCUAUGAGAAAUUUGAAGGUGGUGAUUCGAAGUAAAUGACAAAAACAAUUGAAAAGGAGAGUGUUAUAUAAUCCAUAAGCUUGCAUGUGUUUAUUCUUAAAGUACUGGAAUCAAUCUUUCCUUUAAGUAAUAGAAAUAGAGGGUUCCGAAAAAGGCUACCCAGAAUGAGACAGUGGGAAUCUCUGAGAGAACCUGUCCUCCCAUGUCUCAGCACUGAAGUCGCAGCACCAGAGUCCACACAUUCAGUUGGCAGUCACAAAACUAAAGUUGCUGUUCUUCUCAUUUCCGUUUGUGUCAGCCUUGAGCAUUGCUGUUAUUUUUUUUCUUCUUUUGUUAAUUUCCAUAACCCUCCAGAGUAGACAAAGGGUUAAAUUUGGAAGUUUCUUCCCUUUGGGUUUGGUCUGGAAUGUUAUUGUAUUUGAAGUAUCAGCAGAGAUCAAUGUAUCUCACACAGUGCCAGCAAGUUUAUGUCCAAGUUGGAAACUUUACCACGGUCCCAAGAAAACGAGUUCUGAGUUGGGAUCAGGAUCUUUGAAAGAUGUAGAGCAUGUAGAAUUAUGCGUUGCAGCAAUCUGACUUGCAAUUUUGACAAUUAUAGUCCAAAUAAUUAAGUACAGCAAACCAUUCAUGUUACUACAAAUUUUAUUGAUCUUAUGAAAAAUACAUUUCUUAAAUGUGUUGAUUUUUUACCAGUUUUCGAAAGGAAGUUGAGAUGAAUCUAAGUUAGUUUUUAAAGUUUGUGGUAAAUCUCAUACUCCCUUUUGAAGCUUUUGGAUUUUAAUACUGUCUACAUCUUUAUGCAUGCAUAUGUAUUUUGUGAGGAUUUUUCUUAGUUAGCUUGAGAUGUGAUCAUCAGUUUCUUUUGUUCAUGUAUUGUGCUUAUGUGUUGACCCUCUUGUCUUAUUUUUAUCAGGAGAAGAAGGCCCUAAAGGAGCAAAAAAUGAAACAAGAAGAGAAAUACAUGUGGGCUAUUGUUGAUGGUGUUAAAGAGAAGGUUUAUUCUUCUCUCCCUCUUUCUCUGCCCAACCAAACACUCUCCCCUGUAUUUCUUGAAAACAUGUUGUCUGUUUUUUGCUUAAAAUUUGUCCAGCUUUGUCAAUAUACUUUACCUUAUCUUGAAUUAGCUUGUUCGAUGAGUUAAGUGUUGGUAUUAUCUAAGUUGGAUGUUCACUUGCUCUUUUUUGAUGUUGAUAUUUGACGUUGGUUGAUGUGUGAAGUAAUAAAUCGAGACAAGAGGAGCGACAAUUAUCAUACGCUCGAACAGCACACAAUAGAGUUAUUUUUCAUUUAACUUUUAUUAUAAAUAUGAGAUUUCUUGUUCAGUCAAUAAGUCACUCAACAAUUUUCUUAAUUAUUGGCACUGUGAGUCUUAGAAAUAUGGAUUGGGCCUAACUCAAUCCUACAAAACUGAUUUGUAUGGUGAGGGAUGCCUCCCACUUUAAACACUUUUUCAGGUCAUAUGUCAUAGUUUGUUGGUAGAAUUGAGUUAGGCCUGAGCCAAAGUCAGCUUGAAGCUGCAUAUCUCUACGAAGUGUGAAUGGAGAUGGCUAUGCAAACAAGAAGUGGGUUCUAGAUAGUUUGGGUAGCAUAAACAGAGGGUGGAGGAGGCAGAGAGAUCAGGCAAGUAAUGAAACAAUAAGUUGGGUGAGAUUGGGUUUAUUUGGCCAAGGAUUUGUUUGUUUGCCACAUAGGGGGUGAAACACAACCACAAGCCUAAUGUUCAAACCACUUGGGGAACCCUCCCUUAAAAUCUAGUGGUCAAGGGGAAUAAUUAAGCCAUUUAAGUACACUACCGCCCCAGAGAGCCGACGUCCUGGAAGCUGCACUCACUCGGCCUUUCCGGUCAGCUCCUCCACAGGCAGCCCUUUAUAAACCAAUGGACGGCCACUAGCUCUAAUACUGAUUGAUAAUUAUCCAAGCACUUUGGGAACCCUCCCUUAAAAGUUAGUUAUAACCAAACUGCUUAAAUACUCCACUGAGCAUCCCAUAGUACAAUGCAGGCUAACCCAAAGUUUUUUUAAGCCUAGGUAGGAAAACAAAAUAAUUGGCAGUUUCUUUGAAGGUGAGACUAGAGAGUGAGAUAAAUAACUCUUGAUUUAUUUGAAUCCUGUUUUUUCAUAAAUUAAAAGAAUCUGUUUUUUAUCUUUUAUUUUGGUUGGAUCAGUUUCUUGUGCAUUAUUGAACUUGAAGGGGGUUGUGUAGGCAUGAUUUUUUACUUUAUAGCUUUUCUCUUGUUUACCUCUCUCUAUCUAAGCUUUUACUUUUGAAGCAUCCUUAUGAAACUGCUAUUUUCAAUUUUUUUCUCUGGGAUUCUUUUUAUGACCAUUUUUUCGUUAAAUCUUUUAGGUUGGCAAUUUUAGAGUUGAACCUCCAGGAUUGUUCAUUGGACGUGGAGAGCAUCCCAAGGUUGGUACGAUAAUUGCUAUUGAAAAUAAAAACAUGUAAACUGACUUCAGAGAGAACAAUUUUCAUACAUCUAUGCAUCUUAAGAUUUUUUGCGAGUAUCUGAUAAGUUUUGGCACUUAACGACUUAUGCUUGAUGUUAUUAGAUCGGCAAAGUGAAAAGACGCAUCCAUCCAAGUGAUGUCUCAAUUAAUAUUGGAAAGUAUACACCAAUUCCCGAAUGUCCUAUUCCCGGUGAAAGGUAUAAUUGUUCAAAAAAUUCAUGGCGAACAAGUCAGGAAAGAAAAUUAAUACAACGAAUUGAAAGUCAUUGUUAUCUUAUGAAAUUAUUGAUUUGUAUGCCCUUGGAAGCUGGAAAGAAAUAAAACAUAAAGAUACACGUAUCUGGUUAGCCAAGUGGCGUGACCCAAUCAAUCCAAAUAAAUCCAAACAUGUGUCUCUGGAUCCUAGUAGUUCCUUGAAAGGGCAGAGCGACAAAGAAAAGUAUGAGAAAGCAAGGAUGUUGAAGGUGUGUUCCACUUUGUUUAUUUUAUUAAUUCUGCAUUUUCACAUGAUAUUUUGUAUGAUAUUUAAAAGAACCUGUUUAAUUAUGGAAUACCUUGUCAUAUGUGUGCAGAGUUAUAUAGGGAACAUCAGGGCUGCAUAUACGGAAGGUUUCACGAGCAAAGAUAUUACUAAGCAGCAAAUAGCCGUUGCUACUUAUUUUAUUGACAAACUAGCUUUAAGGGCUGGAAAUGAGAAGGUACAAAUAUAAUAUCUGCAGAUGUAAUUGCUUAUUUGUUCACUACAAAUCACCCCUUCCCCAGAUAACAUAAAGAUAUGCUAAAAGAGGAUAAGAUAUAUACAACACUAAAGUAUAUUAUAUUGUGAAUGCAUACAUAAUUUGUAAGUCAAAGUAUGCUGAACACUUGCUAGUUUAAGUUAAACUGGCUGUAGUUUUAAAGAGCUGUGACAAGCAGGAAGGCAUACAACUUUCAUUUAAAAGGAGAUUAACAACUUCGCCACUUCCUAAGCGCAUGUAUGAUAUUUUCUAGUCUAGAUUUGGCUUAACUAUGUACAUGAAGUCUUGAACCUACAAAUCUCAAUACUAAUAUGAACUCCCAACACUACUUGGAAGGUGGAAUAAUGUGUAUUUGUGACAAUUAUUUAUGGUUCAUGAUAUGACGUAUGUCAAAAGCAUCGGAAAUGUGCGGCUAGCCCAAUAAAAAUACAACUGUCAUUAUUCAGUAAGAUUAUAAUCUUUACAACAUCAUGUUCAUCAAUUGUAAUUACAGUUGAUACAUUGAAUGAGUGAGAUAGUGGGGAGUUAAUUUAAUUCUGCUAUAUCAUGACAUGAUAGCUUUGUUUUUAGCUUAUUCGGACAAUCAACUGUUUUUUGUAGCUAAGAUUUAUUUAUUACAUUGUAUAAAAUUUCAACCCAUAAGGAAUUUAAGCACAAACAAGGAAAACAAUGCCAUAUUGUCAGUAGCUUGUAUAUGUUACGGUCUAGUUGUUUAAUUGCUGUUUGACCAAAAUGUAAGGAAUUCAGAACACAAAUGGGGGAAAAUAUAGCACAUAUCUAUUAAAAAAAUUCUUGCAAAUUUGCUAUGUAGGUGUUCAAAAGUUGAAUAAUUGCUUUAUGAAUCUCUGUAGGUUUGUCAGUCUAAUCAAUUCUGUAAGGUAGUUGUGCUUUCUGCAGUUUUGUCAACCAGUUACUAUAGCUAGUAUGUUUCUGUUUGUUGAUAUAAUGUAUUUAAAGCUCACCUCACCCAGUGGAAAAGGCUUUUCUUGUUGUUGUUUAUUAUUAUACCAUGUCAAAAAUGUGCCACUGAAGUAGGUUUGGACAAUUUAACUUAAUUAAUAUGGAUGUUGCUAAACUAAAUUAUUCUUUGAAUUUGAGAAAGAACUGGACUAAGCAUGCACCUUUCCUAUUUCUCUUCAUUGUUUUAUUGUCAAAAAAUUAACACGACUUUUGCAAAUCAAAUAUAGUUGUUUCUCAUUUACGUUUCUUCAGGAUGAUGAAGAAGCGGAUACAGUUGGUUGUUGCACGUUAAAAAUAGAAAAUGUGACUGCACAGGGCCACAACAAAUUGAAGGUAUUUGAGCUUACAUAUCUUUCUACUUUUUUUAGGAGGAAUUUCAGUACCUUACAUGUGAUUUUUCUUUAAGUUUUGGUUGUCUAGUUUUAUUGUUAACUGCUAAUAGUUAGGAUAAUAAUGAUCAUGCUUCAUUUUUGGUUUAAUGCAGUUUGAUUUUCUUGGUAAAGAUUCAAUCAAGUAUGAAAAUACAGUUGAGGUGGAGCUUCCUGUUUAUAAUGCCAUUUUGAAGUUCCAAAAAGGUGGGAAACUGCUUCUACUUUUUGAUAUAUUUUGUAUGAGACUGAUGCGAGGCUAAUAAGUAUCUGCUUUUCUCUCUUAUCAGACAAACACCCUGGAGAUGAUCUUUUUGACAAGCUGGAUACAAGUAAAUUAAAUGCUCAUCUUAAGGAACUCAUGCCCAACCUGACAGCAAAAGUCUUCCGUACAUUCAAUGCAUCAUUCACUUUGGAUGAUAUGGUAAAAAUUGAUUUAAAAUCAAUGCCCAGGCAUUCACACUGCUUCCAAAAAGAGAUUAUUCUGUUUUCUAUUAUACUUUUAUGUACUCUCAAUUAAUUACUUUGUUAUUUGUGUUUGUGUGUUGUUAAUGUUCAUAUCCAAUGUUUUUUAGUUCUCUGUAUGGAUCUUGUGUUGAUACAGUUUUAUAUUUUUGGGAGACUAAUUUUGGCAACAAAAAAAAAAAAAUAGAGGACCAAUAAAGUGAAACUUUUAAUUUUUGGGGAAUUAAAUUGGCCGGAACGAAUCAUCGGAGGACUUCUUAGUAUUAACACAAUUGUACUUGUUGGGACAGAAAAAGUUUAACUCUAAAUAUUUGUUUAUUAAUUAAAUUAGGUAUUGAAUUAUUUUAUUAGGAACCGGUUGGCUAGGGAGAGGGCAGGCUCUUAAUUUCCUGUCUUGUAAAUUCAGUAUGACCUAUAGAUUUGAAUACGCCAGUUUUUAUAGACUUGCGGCAACAUCUCAUUCUUUAUAAGAUCAAAUUAAAGGUUUAUUCUUGAUUUUAUUCUGUCUUGUACUUUUAGAACUCAUAUUUAAUCUUCCAUAAUUUUUGUGACAACAGUUGAAUAAGGAAACUAAAGAUGGAGAUGUUGCAGAAAAAAAAGAUGUCUAUCAACAUGCAAAUAAACAGGUACGUUUCACGAAAUUCAUUUUUGAUUCCUUCAUUAUACCGUGCACAGACUUGUGUAUUUUCCUGGUUUUCUAAGUUGCAUUGAUGUGUCUUUUCAUAACAGGUUGCAAUCAUUUGUAAUCAUCAACGCAGUGUUUCAAAAAAUCACAGUGCACAAAUUUCAAAGUUAAAUGAAAAGAUUGUUGAACUUCAGGUGAUAAUACUAUUUAGAGUUUGGAAACCUUGGUGUAAAUGAAUUUCUCGUCACUGGCUCAUUUUAUUUUAUUUUAAUUUAGAGGGCAUGUAGACAUAUACUUGGAUUUUACUUGCUUUUUAAUUGUAGGCUUCUUUGAGGGAGCUGAAAAUAGAUUUGAAAAGGGCAAGAAAAGAAAAUUCACCUCUAACGAGUUCGGACGGGAAGAAAAGGAACUUGAAUCCUGAAGCGUAAUAUACAGCUUCCUUAGUAUCUUUACACAUUAUAAUUAUCAAGUAUAAUGACUAAUGUGUGAUUGUGAAUUAUGUCACCUACAGGAUAGAGAAAAAGAUAACUCAAACCAGCGCAAAAAUUGAGAAAAUGCAACGUGAUAUGCAUACGAAAGAAGAUCUAAAAACUGUGGCACUUGGCACGUCCAAGAUAAACUACCUAGAUCCCAGGAUAUCAGUUGCCUGGUGCAAGCGGCAUGAGGUUCCUAUUGAAAAGGUCUGGACUUCUUCACUUGUUAUGAUUACAAUUGAUUUUCCUCCAAUUGAUAAAAACCAAUUAACAGUUGAGAUUCUAUUGGACUUUCCCUUGUCUGUAUGCUCUUUGCUUAAAGGCCGUAAGCUAUGUUGCUUCCCGCCAGAAUUGGACCAGUGAUCUAAAUAGUCUUUAACAUGUUUUUGAGGAGCAACUGUUCCCUCCACAUUUCUAAACAAUUAAACAUUUUUUCAGAAUUGUACUUACGGAUGGCACAAAAUGUGUUUUUUUUUUUCUCUUUCAAAUGCACACAUUUGAAGUCCUUUCUCUCAUGUUUUCGAUCUAUGUUAUAAACCAUUUUUUUGUUGUAGUCCCUGAAAUAUUGUUUUUGUUUCGAACUGAUCCAUAUAAUAUUAUUUUUUUGUUUUGAUGGGACUAAAACGAAGAGAGAAAAAUUAGAUGGACCCUUCUAAAUAAAAACAAGUCAUCUAAUUAUCUCUGUAAAAUGGUGAACUAAAUGUUUGAUUUUGAUUGGCUUAUUCGCUAUUACUAACAUACUCUUAUUGCUUGGGGCUUGAAUCAGAUUUUCACUGGAAAAACUCUGCUGCAAAAAUUUGCUUGGGCAAUGGAUGUAGAUCCUAAUUUCAGAUUCUAAGAUGGAGGCUUACAAAUACAACUAACUAUGCGGUGGGAAAGCCACUUGGGUUGGUCUAGUGGUAUUGGCUUGUAACCUGGGAGUGUGCUCCUCCUCAAGGUCUCAGGUUCAAUUCUCUCUGGUGCCAAUUUGAGGGGGUUAGUUUAGGUUCAUAAAAAAAAACUAUGCGGUGGAAAAACGUUUUUUUUUUUUUUUUAACUCUUUCCUUCUACAUAAAAAAUAAGUUUUGUUUCUUUAUUUUUGAAGUCCAGCGGAAAUUUAUGCUGCAAAGUCUUCAUCUAAUCUAAUUUACUAUUUCAAUGAUUCAUAUUAUGAUUUAAUCAUUUAAUGUGAUACCCAGUGUUAAAUGAGGCAAAGUUUUGUAGUUUCAUUCUUGUUUAUUUUACUUGUAUUGUUAUUGUUAUCUGUGAUUGCUUACAUCAAGGGUGGGUUUGAAUGUUCAAGCAGAUCAUAUUAACUGCUUCUUGUUCCUUCCAAUGAGUGCCAUUUUGAUGGCAUGACACCAAGAAUGGAAGUUCUGUCGGGUAAGAAGAUGAAGUAGAAAUUGUCUUAAAUUGUCAUGGUGAAAAAUGAAGAAGACGAUCAAGAAAGAGAACGCAAAAGUAGAAAUAAUCUCAAACUCUCAUGUUAAUCAUGCCAUAUUGAAGUGAGAAAUUGAGUAAAAGUUUAUUGAAAAGAUUCAAUUAAUAACAACAACUGAAUGAACAAUUACAAUAGCAUAAAGCUAUAGUAUAAGUAGAGCUAAUGUGCUAACUACCAAACUAAACUUGCAACUGAAAGUUGCAACAAUCUAACUUGAUCUAAAGGAUUAAGUACAAGUUUUAACAUAUAGUUAGAGCUAUGGUGAAGCUUAAUAAGUUGUUAAUAUCACAAGAACCUAGCCAGCCUUCAAAAAUUUGCUACAAAUGUGUUGUUGGAUGGUGAUUGGGGAUGUUGUUUGUCCCAAGAGUAUGGAGCUUAUUAUCUAGUUGCAAAUAUUGACCUAUUCAAGUUGGCUUAGAUAUAUUCUUUUAUGGUCAUGGUCUUGCAUACGCAGCCGAGGGAAAUUCAAAUUGAUUUUCUUCUGAUUGCUAUGAUUAGCCUUGUUUUGUCUACGAUUUGGCUCUUUUCAUAUUUACCCAAACAUAAGAUAACUAAAUUAAAUGUAUAAAUUGUCGCUGUGAUUUUGAAUUUCCAACCGAGUGCCAAAACUGAACAAAGUAUUCCGAAACUCAAAACAGAUCAAUCAAUGAAAUGUCAAUCCAAUUGCAAACAGAGACCAGAUACCAUCGAAAAAAAUUACAGCCAAAGAAAGAAUUAUAAGUUUUCAAAAUAAAUUAAAUUAAAAAUAGAUUCUAAUUUUAUCUUGGAAAACAAUGGAUUAAAAAAAUAUCCAGAAAUAAAAAAUUGUUAUUAGGACAAUUUAUUUUGGAAAUAAAAUUGGGUAAAAAAAUUUGGGCCGUUUUACUCUGAUGAGGUUUGUCUUGGGGAAAAUAAUUUAUCCCCAAAACCUAUAUAUACACAAAUGUAAGUCAAAGUACCACACACAGUACAUACUCAGAAUUUUAGGGAAGAAAAAAAAAAGCAUUGAAAACCCUAACUCAUCUUUUCACAGUGUCGCCGCGUCCCACCAUGUUCUACAGCAUUUUCUAUUCCAGUCCGUCGUCCACUUCCACUGCUAAAUCGAACAAGAAAAGAAAGGGUUUAAACAGGUAUUGUUUCUUAGCUAAAAGUUUCGUUCAUCCGAUGGUUUGUUUUUCAUUAUGAUACUGCCUUUUAUUACCGAGUCUUUUUCUAAGACUCAUACUAUAGCAUCACUUCAUCAAAACCGUCCUCAAGUUAAGGGAGAUAUUGACAAUGACCUCGUCGCUGGGUUCGAUAAACAAAGGUAGAACUCUUGUUACUCAGUUUUGAUAGAAAACAAUGAGAAAGCAUACCAAUCCAUUGUAUUAACCAACAACUAUAUGUCACAAUCCUUGUUCAUCAAUCGGUAGUUAGGAUCAUCAUUGGCAAGGGUGAUAGAGUAGGGUAUAUCCUAAAAAGUAUGGUGAGAAUAGUGUGGUGUGUGGGUUUCGUGAAGAUUUAUUGAGAUGCAUUUUGACAAAGAAGGGAUUGGAGAUGAGUGUGGUCCAAGAGUUGCUCACGCACUUCGAUGGUAUGAGAGAUUUCACGGUAAGCAAUGAUGAGACUAAAAAUGUAUUUCAUGAACAAGUAUAAAAUUCAUAUUCAAGCAUGGAUUUUAUUUUUAUUUUUUACAAUCAAAAACUCGUAUUAUUUCACUUCUCAAAAGAGUCUCAAUCUCUUGGUGACGAGCAUGUAAUCUUGAUGCUCCUGCUAAAGUAUGAGCUACAUGUAUUAUGUCCCUAUAUUUACUAACUAAGAUGGAGAUGUUGCAGAAAAAAAAAAAAAAGAUGUCUAUCAUAAUGCAAAUAAACAGGUACAUUUCACAAAAUUCACUUUGGAUUCCUCCAUUUUAACGUGCACAAACUGUUCUAUAUUUUCCUGGUUUUCUAAGUAGCAUUGAUGUGUCUUUUCCAUAACAGGUUGCAAUCAUUUGUAAUCAUCAGUGUAGUGUUUCAAAAAUUCACAGUGAACAAAUUUCAAAGUUGAAUGAAAAGAUUGAUGAACUUCAGGCGAUAAUACUCUUUAGAAUUUGGAAGCCUUGGUGUGAAUGAAUUUCUUGUCACUGGCUCAUUUUGUUUUAAAUUUAGAGAGCAUGCAAACAUAUACUUGGAGCUAACUUGCUUUUUAAUUGUAGGCUGAUUUGAAGAAGCUGAAAAUAGAUUUGGAAAGGGCAAGAAAAGAUAAGAAAAGCCACCUCUAACGAGUUCGGAUGGGAAGAACAAAAAGAACUUGAAACUGAAGCGUAAUAAACAGCUUCCUUAACAUCUUUGGACAUUAUAAUUAUCAAGUGUAAUGUGUGAUUGUGAUCUAUGUAUCGUACAGGAUAGAGAAAAGAUAUCUCAAACCAGCGCAAAAAUUAAGAAAAUGCAGCAUGAUAUGCAUACAAAAGAAGAUCUAAAAACUGUGGCACUUGGCACGUCCCCAAGAUAAACUACCUAGAUCCCAGGAUAUCAGUUGCCUGUUGCAAGCGGCAUGAGGUUCCUAUUGAAAAGGUCUGAACUUAUUCACUUGUUAUUACUACAAUUGAUAACACAUAUUUUCAGAAAUGUACUUAUGGAUGGCACGGAAUUUGUGUUUUUUUUUUUCUUCAAAUGUACACAUCUGAAGUCCUUUCUCUCAUGUUUUCGAUCUAUGUUAUAAACCAUUUUUCGUACACAUCUGAAGUCCUUUCUCUCACGUUUUUGAUCUAUGUUAUAAACCAUUUUUCGUUAUAGUCCCUGAAAUAUUAUUUUUGUUUCGCAUAUAAUAUUUUUUUUCUUUUGUUUUGAUGGGACAAAACGAAGAAGAAGCAAAAAUGAAAAGGGCCCUUCUAAAUAAAACAGAUUUAAGCCAUCUAAUUAUCUUUGUAAAAUGAUGAACUGAAUGUUUGAUUUUGAUUGGCGUAUUAUUUUUCACUAACACACUCUUGUUGCUUGGGGCUUGAAUUAGAUUUUCACUGGAAAAACUCUGCUUCAAAAAUUUGCUUGCCCAUGGAUGUAGAUCCUAAACUCAUUCUCGUAUAUUUUACUUGUAUUGUUAUUGCUAUAUGUGAUUGCUUAUGUCAAGGGUGGGUUUGGAUGUUCAAGCUGCUCAUAUCAACUGUUUCUUUUUCCUUCCAAUGAGGGCCGUUUUGAUGGCGCGACGCCAAGAAUGUGAUUAUCUCCCGAACUUGGGGCUGUGAGAUGUUACCCCCAUUGUCACUUGGUUAGCAUAGGAUGAUUGUGUCAUGAGUUGGGUGUUUCCUAGGAACAUUGCGGUGUCUCGAUUAGUGUUUUAUGAGGGUGAGAGACCAAGAGCUACUGACAAUAAUCUGCUUGGUUCUCUCAGCCUUUCCUACCUUCCAGGUGCUCGGCGGCAGCCCUUAGAUGUAUGUUUUUCCAUCAAUGAAAAUGGUAUCCUAACUGUUUCUGCUAAGGAAAUAUCUAGAAGAAAUAAGAACUAGAUACCAUAACCAGUGACAAAGAAAGGUUGUCAACAAUUGAUAUUGAAAAAAUGAUUGAAGAAGCUGAAAGGUACAGUUUUGAUGAUAAAAUGUUUUUAAUGACGCCUUCAUUGUAAUCGCCACAAACCCUCCCCUUCAUUCACCUCCCAUAGGUUUAUUUUCAAAAAAAAAAAAAAAAAAAAAUUAUAAAGUUUUGAGCACUUAUUAAAAGCAAGACAUCCCUUGAAAUCUAAAUAGAGAAAUACAAAACUAGCUAGUAUUUGCUGUAAGGUGUUUCAAUAGGCUUUCUAGCUCCUUCAGAUGACUCUCAAGAGCAUCUAUUUCUAUGAUCUGGUAGUUCUUCUUAACCAGAAAACUCUUGGCCUCAUUAAUUGCAUUGUCGAUCUUCUCAAGUUUUUGAUGGGUAGCCUAAGAUUGACACCCUUCUGUAAAACAUUCUUCAUUUCAUAAACACAACACAUUACUGUGGUCUUAAAAACAUUUUAUCAUCCACAUUGUACCUCUCAGCUUCUUCAAUUAUUUUUUCAAUUUCAAUUAUUGACCACCUUUCCUUGUUAAUGGUUAUGGUGAUCUCGUUCUUAUUUCUUCUAGUUAUUUCCUUAGCAGAAACGGUUAGGAUACCAUUUUCAUCUAUGGAAAAACAUACAUCUAAGGACUGGCCCCAACGAGCACCUGGAAGGCACCCUCAUAAUCACUAAUCGAGACACCACAAUAUUCCUAGGAAACACCACACUCAUGACACAAACAUCCUCUGCUAGUGGUCAUCAAGUUGUGAUUAUCUCCUUCGAUUUGGGGAUGGAGUUCAGUUAUAUAUGUCAACUGUUUGCAUGUUAAUGGAGUGUCUUUGUUUUUCUCACCAUUUUUAUAUGGCAGAUGAGGGAAUUUGGAGUUGAAGAAAUUUAAGUUUAGUUAUCAUAAUCGACUUCAUGGCUUUAUUUACUUUGAAUAUUUCCUGUUGGUUGCCGACACCGAUAUUGGCAAGUGAUUCACUAUAAUAAUAAGAGAGAUUAUAGAAUAGAUCAAACUAGAAUUACCAUUUACAUUUAUUGAUUUCUGGUCAAGCAUUAUGUUGAAAUGACAUACUAAGUUGCCAUUCAUUUCAUCAAUAGGCUACAUGGGAAAGCGCCAACUGAGCAACUGAAUUUAAAAGUGAACCGUCACUACCAAAUUCCACUUGUAUUGCCAAAGUUUUAUUUUAGAAAAAUAUUUGAGAAUAAAUUCAGGAAUUGUGGGUCAGCUUUAAAUUUAUGAGCUUUGUUUUGGAAAAUUUUAGCCCCAAAACCCUAUACAUAAAAAUAUAAGUGUAUGUAGUUUGAGAACCCAUACAGAAAUUCAUAAAAACCUUGACCCGUGUUUUCACGGUGUCACCGCCACUGUCCCAUUGCACUUUCCCUCUCCAGUCUAGUCGGUCUACUCUCAGUGACAACUUCUUCGUCCCACGUUAUUUUUAUCUUCCACUGUUAUCUAUUUAGGAUCCCAAGAUUAAAAUCGAACAAAAGAAGAUUGAGAUUGAAGAUUUGCCUGGUUCAACCGCUGUGAAAAUCAUCAUUGAUCAAGAGAAGAAAGAAAGGGGUAUAAGCAGGUUUUGUGUCUAUCGAAAUCUAACUAGGACAACAAUCGGUAAUCAAUCACACAAUAAUUGACUUCUAUUUUGGUUUUACAAUGUUGCUCGUAUUAAUAUAUCAUUUGUAACUAUUAAUUUUUGUUUACAUAAUUCUUAUUUACCGCUUGAUCAAUCUACAGUUUUCUUAAGUAUUGUGCAUAAUCACUUGUAUGCUAAUUGAGAUGCUUGUCAAGAAUAAAUAUGUUAAAACCUGUUUCAAGCACGAGUUUAUGAUUCUAGUUGCAGUUCAAUUAUAACCUUGAUUUUUGUUCAAGAUUAUCUGCUAUCUGAAUUUUAUUGAUUGUUUUUCAUUAAUUUGUUCAUUACAAGCUCGACUAUGAUAACAAACUGUAAAUAACCUGAGUAGGCGUACGGCCUGUGUCAUUAUCAACUUACUAGCUAUACUUGUUAGAAGUUGAAACCCCAGAGAGGAGGAGAAGGAAAUUGUAAAUUCUCAUUAUGAUGAAUAACAGAGCAUACAAGUAUUUAUAGGCACAUGCUAAGUGCAAUGAAUAGGUAACACAUGUCACUGCCUUAAAGGCUAGAGCUAAACUAAGAUAAGCUACAAUAGCAGAAUAUCAAGCCUAAUCAAUACUCUUAACAAUACUGUGGUUUGUUUUAGUUGAUGUAAAUGUAAAAUUAUUUUACACCUACAAUACAUCUCCAAUAAACUAUUUCAUCAAUUAAUUUGUAUAUUCUUGAGCAAAGGAGUAGGACUACAUCAUCAAAAAAACGCCCCAAGAAAUAGACAAAAUAAAAAUAAAAGUAGCAGCAAAAGAAGUGUUGAUAUAUCUAGUUGGCUCUGAUUAAAACCACCACCAGCCCAGCCCCAAAAGGCUCCUUAGUGGAUUGUUUCCUAGUACAUAAUACAUUUUUGAAAUGGUAGGAUAUGGUAAGAUACACCAUCGUGGUUCAACAUUGCCAUCAAUGAAUGUGAACCCAAAACAUGUUGGUUGUCGUGAAGACAAAUAUUUCCAAUCAUCAUGUUGGUUGUUAAAUCCUGCUUCCAUCGAAAUCUCUCUCAAUUCUUUUCUCUGUUCAGUUCAUAAUAUUCUUACUGACUGCUGGAUCAAUCGAUAGCUUUCAUUCUCCUAUUAUGCGGGAUGAAGAUGCACAUUAAAAAUGUAGGUCCUGAAUUUGUUGAUACUUUCAAGUACUGGACAAAAUCCCUUGAUCCACUGGUAAUUGAGAUGCUAAUUGCUAACCAAAAAUAAAUAUGUUAAAACCUGUUUCAAGCACAAGUGUAUGAAACAUGUGGGAAAAGGGAAUGAUGGUCAUUCUAGCUGCAGUUAAAUUAUAACCUUGACAAAUCUUCUAGAUUAUCGGGUCUCUGAAUUUCAUUGAUUAACUUUCAUCAAUGUAUUAUAACUACUAGCUCCACUAUGAUUUUAAACUUGUUAGUAACCUGAGUAGGUCUACCUAUCAAACAAACCAUAUUUACACUGCUCAAGUUACAAUUAGCAAAUACCAAAUCUAUGUUCUUUUAUGCGUGAGUUGAAAGCGUAAGACAUCAUUUCAAGUUUUAAAAUUUAUUCCUUCUCCUUUUGAAUUGUUGCAGCUUGUUAUGGAGAUUCGGAGAUUAAUGGAGUUAAAAGACCUUAGCAUAAAUUAUACAUGCUCAUCUCUUAUGAUAUGUUCUCUUUGUAAAGGGUUUACACGGAAGAGGUAAACUACUAGUUUCAGAAUUAUAUAUUAAUCAUCUUUUGUCAUUAAAAUUGUUUAUAUCAAUACCUAUUUGGUCUUCAUUCUUUUGUUUUUUAUUUUGGCGAUUUCAUUGUUUUUUGGCUUAUUUGAUCUGGUCCCCUAACUAAUUUCAUAUUUUCAUUUUGGUCCUACAAUUAAUAAAACGUACGUUUUGGUCCCUCACUUUUUUCUCCGUUUAUCAAAUAAAUCCCUAGUCUAUUAAGUUUAACCACAAAUGUCUAUGGUGGACCAACUUUAAAAGUGAUCCACCAUAGACCUUAUUAAACUUUUUAAUUUAAACUGUUUGAUCUGUUUCUUAAAAAAAAUGACCAUUAAAUUAUACGUGUCUAUUGUAACUUACGAUGUACCAACAACAACUAAUUCUUUUAUUUCUUUCUUCAUCUUCUACCUUAAUAAUCUUCAUCAUCUUCAACUCACAUUCAUCAUCAACAUUCAUAAAAAAAAAAACCAAAAAAAUAGAAUCAACAACUAUCAACAACAACAUGAUCAUAAUCACCAUCAUCUAAUCACUAAACUUACACCACCAACAACACAUAAUUUAAUCACCAAAAUUGAUAUAAUGUUCAACAACAUUCAUAAAAAAAUCCAACAAAAAAAAAACUAAAACCAAUUCUUAGAACAACAUCAACAAAUCAAUUAAACAACAACAAAUUGAGAGUGAAGCUAAAUCUGUGAGGAAGAAGAAGAAUGAAGCUAAAUCUGUAUGUAUGAAAUUGAGAGUGGCGUGGUGGUUGUGCAGCUACCCUACCUAUAAAUCAUUUAAAGUUACAAAGCAAAUCAUAGAAAUUCAAACACCAAAUUCCCCUUCCCUUCCCAUUGUCAUCUCUGCCGAUGCAUAGAGAAAUCAAUCUCAAAAUGACUAAUAGCACCAAAUUACUACUCAACAACAACAACAACCAGUUGAAUCUUCUUCUGCUCCGAAUCACCCAAAAAUCCUUUUCUUCCUUUCUUCCCUAAUUUCAAUUUCAAUUUUCAACUUCCCCAUUUUACUUACCACCAAAAAAGCAUAAUCACGAUGAUGUUGAUGACAACAAAAUAAUAACCUUCAUCCCAAAAUUGCAGGAAGGAGCAGGACAUAUGUAUAUCUUUCUUUCUUUGUACCCAUUAGUUUGAAUAGAAGCUAAAAACUCAUGAUUUGAACAAAAAGAAACAACCCAACACAAUCAAAAUCCGCGAUUUGGAAAAGGACAAGCAAACCACGCCCAGAUCGUACUGUUCGAGAGAGAGAGAGAGAGAGAGAGAGAGAGAGAGAGAGAGAUGAACCCCACACCCAGAUCGCACUGUUCAUCGAGAGAGAUGAAGACCAUCUCGUGUUACUGUUCAUCAACGAAGGAUUGAAGGAUUUAACAAAACAGAUCGAUGAAGGAAGAUGAAGAUCGUAUUGGAAAGGGUAGGAAGUGUUUUGUUUGAUGAUUUUUUUUUAUGAAUCCUAUGAAGAUGAUUAAGAACACAAUGGGAGAAACCUAUUUUCUGGGUUUUUUUGCCACAUGGGGUUUUACUAACGGAAGUUUUAAUUAUUUGACAGAAGGGAUUUAUUUGGCAAACAGAGAAAAAAGUGAGGGACCAAAACGUACGUUUUAUUAAUUGUAGGACUAAAAUGAAAACGUAAAAUUAAUUAGGGAACAAUUGAAUCAAAUAAGCCUUAUUUUUUUGUUUGACUCAGUAGGUAUUUGUUCACAUUGUAUUCAACGCAUUCUGGAUUAUUAUGAUGUUUUAUGAAUUUUGAUACUAAUUCUGGGGCUAACGUGUUGUUCAGAGUGCAUCCUAGCCUAUAAUUACUACAAUAAUAAUACUUUUGCAAACAAACAACUUUUUUUUUUUAAUUUGGUUAAAAACUAUAAUAAAAUUUUAGGUUUAAUUGCACUUUUGGACCCCUAUCUUUCCAAAAGUUGCGGUUAUGGACCCCUAACUAAUUUAAAUACAAAACAGCCACCUAUGUUUUGAUUCUUUGGCAGUUUUGGACCCUCAGUCCAUUGUUGACUCGGUCAACGCUGACGUGGUAGGUGCCACGUGUCAAUUUUUUUUUGUUUUUGUCUUGGGGGUCCAAAACUACUAAAGAAUCAAAACAUAAGAGACUGUUUUGUAUUUAAAUUAGUUAGGGAUCCAUAACCGCAACUUUUAGAAAGAUAGGGGUCUAAAAGUGUAAUUAAACCUUAAAUUUUAUGCCGAGCAUAUAACAAUUUUUACUCAAAAGGGCAUAAAACAUAAAGUACAAGAGCUCAACUUGUAUUUAUUUAUCGUUUCUUUUCAUUUAGCUACGGAGAUAGUACAAAAGGACUUCGAACACUAUAUUUAUCAUUUCUCCAUGUAAUGGAUCCAAAGAGAUCAUCGUUCAGCGGGAUUAAAGUGUAGGAGAAAAUAACUUGGUAGCUUAUUUUUUUGCUACUUUUUGUAAAUUGGAGUUUCUCUGGAAUCAAUUGGACUUUCACCCCACUAGGAGCAUCAACGAUGGCGGAGUAGACUGUUUCAUCCUCUUCACCAACAUUUGUAACAGUUCUACUCACAUUCACACUUCCUCUCCCAGUGAAGUUGGAGAUUGCUAUUGAAGGAUAGUUGAUAUUGGAAAUAUGAUCAGGAGUUGAAUCCUUAGGGCAACUGAAACUACCAGGGACGGUUUUUGAGAUAGCCUUAAUUGUGGGUUGUAUUGUAUCCUAGGUAACACAAGUAGUUCAAGUAGUCAAUGGUGCUGGUUUCAUAAACUAGCCCUGGUUGGAAUGAUUCAGAUAUUGUAAUUUCCCCUGCUCCAUAGUCAUAAGGUGUGGCAAUUGACCCUAAAUCCGUUGUAAUGGGAUCCUUCAUAUUGUUAAUUUGAGUUGCUGCAUUUUGAAAAAUAGGAGUUGAUGAGUACUAUUUAUUGACAUUGAUUUGAGUGAGUUAUCAAUUUAAUUUGUGAAAUUGUUUUGGUUAGACAAUUUUACUUUUGAAACUUAAAAAAUUCAAAAUGAUUUAUAAAAUAAAAUCUUUUAUCACAUCAGUCUCCAUAAAUUUGACAAUUUAAUUACCAUCUUGUUAGUUGAUAAAGUAGGAAAACAGUGUCUAAAGCACCACACUUAAGUUUUAUCAUGUUUAGAAACUAAAUCAAUCGACCUAAAAUGGUUAAUAUGGUUGAUCAUUUUUAAUUUCAAGAACUGUUUUAGAAAUUUUCAAAGGUAAAGUGAACUAAUCAUUGAGAUUAAAUUGAUUAUUCACAUUUUGUAUAAAUAUGAAAAGUCUAUCCAGAGGUCAUGAUGGCCGAUCUGAUUGCAGAGGCACUCCAAGUAGGGUUUCUAGAUUUAAUGCUGCCUGCAAGGCCUGAAACAUGUGGGCAUGACAUAGAAGUCCCUGAUUUAAAGUUAUAUGGUGAUGGCUUUUUCCCUUUUGGAACAUCAGUUACAUUAUUAGCAAUCGAUGCUGCAAGAAUGGCAACACCUGGUGCUGCAAUAUCGGGCUACAAAAGAAAGAAUUGUUUGCUAUGUUUAGUGAUGAGUGUAAAAUGAUAUCUAUUUAUGAUUCUAUCUUUAUUUUGUGUAUCCUUACCUUGAGAAUAUUCUUAGAGAGUGUUGAAGGCCCUCUAGAUGAAAAGAAUGCAACCAUAGGUGCAGGUUUAUAACCUACGACUGUAAUCGUUGCAAGAAUUGUUGCCACUGGAUUGCUUCAGAUUGAUUAUAUGCAAAAAAUACAAUAUAAUUAACUAGUGAUCAUCUCUCACUGUUGAUUUCAAUCUCGGAUUCAAAAGCAAAAUUUCAAAUAAACAUUUACUUUAAAUAUAGUUAGCUUGUGUAGUAGGGAUUUUAUUUUUUAUUUUUUUUGUCAUUAGUCGUGAGUUAUAGCAAAUAUGAGAAAGUGAGAGAGAUGAACUCAAAGUGUAAAAUUGGAUUACAUUGAAAACCAAUCACAAAUUGAAUAGUUCUAAUUGAAUGUGAGUGUAAAAUAACUUUAUAUAUAUAUAUUUUUUUUUUGAAAACUCGGUAUCCGAUCCAAGAAUCGACUAAUCCGAGGGGACCAAUCCCACCGCUCACUUGCGGGGGCCCGUUUAAAGCCAUAGCAAACUCUGUAUGGACUUAGCCCACCGAAAUUGGCACCAAAGGGAAUCGAACCUGAGACCUCUGGAGGAGCAAACUCCAAGAUCCCAAGCCAACCACUAGGCCAACCCCAAAUGGGAACUUUAUAUUGAUGGUGUAUAUCCAUUAAUCUUCUUGAUAUACCGUAAAUUAAAUUAAAAAACUUUAAAAUGCAUACCUUGUUGAAUUGACAUAUUGGAGGAUUGUGGCAGCAUCUCUUGUUCUUACCACGGUUGCUGGGAAGUCAUAAUUUCUUGCCUCUCCUCCUUCUUGGUCAAUAAUAUGAACAAGACCUAAUCCACCCAUCUCUUGCGCCAUUUUAAUCUUGUCAUAGAUUGUGUAACCAUCAUCUAUGCCAUCACAUAUGACAAUCUUUCCUUUGACUUUGUUCGUAUCUAAUGAAUUUGGGUGACACAUCCUGCAUUUAACAAACAAUAAUAAUUUUUUUUGAUUAAUUAUGCCCAACAAACAAGUUUAAGUUAAUUAAUUGUUAUGGUUAUGCAUGCUUACGUACCUUGCUUCAGCUAAAUCUGCAGUAGUUGUCUUGACAGCCUCGCCGGUUACCAGUGGAUAAUGGGGAGAUUUUGAAAGAGGGGUGAAAUUUAUGGCUUGACCCUUAACAAUAACAAUUAUCAAACAUGAGAAAUAUAUCAUUGAAAAUUAAAAAAAUUAAAAAAUAAAUUGAUAUACCGCAGAGCGCUAUAGAUUGUACCUUGAUAACUUUGUUACUACCCAAAACAAUAUUGGACUGAAGAUCACGAUCGAUAGUGGUGGCUGCAACAGUCAACAUCCAAGGAGCAUCAUUAAUAACUGUAUUUCUCUCUGAUCCUUCAUUCCCAGCACUGCAAACCACCACUAUACCACGCUCCACUGCGUGGAACGCUCCGAUUGCAAUCGGGUCAGUUGUUAAGUUGGGUCGGCUAGACGAAUAUGGACCAAUUGAGAGUGAAAGUACAUCAACUCCAUCAUAAAUGGCAUCGUCGAAUGCAGCAAGCAUGCCAGAGCCAGAACAGCCAGGAGAGCACACUUUGUAAAUUGCCAACCUCGAUUCAGGAGACCCACCUUUUGCUGUCCCUGCCGCGAGAUCAUAAUAUGAUGCACCACUCACAAAGUUCCCUGCAGCCGUUGAAGCUGUGUGGGUCCCAUGUCCAUUUCUAUCCCUUACCGUGUUCUCCGUUUCAUCAUCGUACUCAUCAGGAUCAGCGUAAUACCUUGCUCCUAUUAUCUUCCUAAAAAUAGAAAAACAAAUUCAUGGCAGCUUUUAUUCUAAUGGACCUCAUAAGCGUAAACAUAGAAAUAAUGUAUGGGAUAUAACAGGUUGGCUUGACUCGAUUUAUGUGAGAGAGAAAUUCAAAUCAAUCACAUAUUGAUUAGCAGGGUUUGGUUAAAUUUAUUUAAUAUUUUGUUACAAAAUCAUAAUCAAUUCAGAUCGAUGAAAAACAUCUUAUUCACAACACACCUGUUACAGUUGGAUGAGUUGAAGUCUUUUGAUGUCAUGCAGAUGCCUUUCCAACUGGGUGGAAUAGGACCCAUUCCCUUGUCUGAAAAACUUGCUGCUUCUGGCCAUAUACCUGAAUAACUCAUUGUUUAUUUAAUUAACUUAUUGUUAAAAUUAUGAAACAUGUAUGUAUGUUAUGUACAUGUACAUUAUAUAUAAAUCAUAUUUCAUUUAUAUCAACAAUAAAAUAAUAAUUAGCAACCUGUAUCUAACAUGCCAAUUACGAUGUCUGAUGAAGAGGGAGAAGACUUGGAAAACAUGUUUUCAAGUUUGGCGUAAGUUUGCAUUUCGAGGAAAUCCCAAGAACGUGUUGUAUGGAGCUUCAGAAUGGGAUCAGGGAAGACAGACACAACUCCAGGUUGUUGAGCAAUUGAGUUUGCUUCACUUUUUGAUAAACGAGCCGCAAAGCCUGAGAAUCCGUGUUUGUAGUUAUGUACUAGAGCUUUCUCAUUCCUAAAUGAUUCACAUCACCAAUAAUUAAUCACAUUUUACAAUACUAGCUAAUUGAUCGUGAUAUAUAUAUUCCAUUCAAUUAAUUAAGUACCUUUUUAACACUGUGUUUAAAAUAUGGGCAUGAUCUUCGCGAAGGGAACCAUUAGUUGAAUGUGAAGCUCCCAUAUACACAAUAUAAACUUGAUUGUCAUUCUCUGAUUGAGGAGUUAAGGAUGAUCUUGACUCUCCAAGGAAAAGGAAGAGUGAGUAAAAUAUUAGUACCAAUAGAACUGAAUUUCCUUUCAUGUUUAGUAUUCUCUUAUAUUGAGCUUAGCUUUGAUGGUGUUCAAUAAAUUGAUGAAGAGUAUGCAUGUUAGCUCCCCGCGCACACAAAUAUAUAAGAAGCAAUCGGUCUAAAAAAGUUAUAAUAAGUUGGUGCUUAUGUCAGCAUUGAAUUAUGAGUUAUGGUAAGAUAUUUAUCAUAUUUUUAUUUAGGGGAGAUAUGUAUAUCAUAUCAUACAAACUCUCUCUCUUCUCCUUCUCUUUUGUACAAAAACUCUAGUUUCUUUUCUUUCAUCCAUCAAAGAUGGAUGAUUUAGGGUCAAUUUUUUACGCAAAAUCACCCCUCUAACUCGUUUUUCUCUUUCAUUGAAAUAAGUGAUUUUCACAUCUAUUUCAUUUUUUCUUUUGUGAUUUCGUCGUCUUAGUGCGACGUUUUGUUGUUCGUCAUCUUUGUGUGCCUUUGUUUGUCUUUCUUGUUUUGUUCAGGUAUUUGUUCGGUUUAGAUUGUCAGAUAAGCUUAGAUAUAGUGCAGAUCCAAUCAAUGACUUUGGCGUCGUCAACGUUGCAGAUCCGAAGACUUGAGUAUUCCGAAGACUUGAAUAUAGUCAUAUGUGUAGGCUUUUGUACUUUGUGAUUUUAUGUUAUUAAAAAAAAAUGGUAAGAUUGUGGUAAAUGGUAAGAUUUAAUUAUAUAUAGGUUGUGGUAAAUGGUAAGAUUUAAUUUAUGAACUAAUAUAACUUUUUGUCAGUUACUUGGAAAGUGUGAAAUUUUUAUUAAUUAAAUUGGUACUGAUAGUAAUUUUCCAACAGUUUUUAGGAAAUUUGAACACAUUCAUCAACGGUAUGGUGCAUUGGUGCUUAUGAACUAAUAUAACAAGAGGAUUAGAGGAAUAUAAGUGUGAGAUAUAAUUAAAUUUGAGCUUAAAUAUGAUAGUCGUUCCUGUAAUUUAGUUCAGUUUUGAUUUUCAUCUAUGUAAAAAAAAUUGAAAUACAUCCCUGUAAAAAAAAAAUUUGUUUGAAAAAGGUCCCUGGCCCCACUUUAUGUCUGACUUGGCAUGUUAUUCGCUGACGUGGCAGUUGUUGACUGUGCAACUUUUGACACGUGGCAGUCCAUGUAAUUAAAAAUAAAAAUAAAAUUCUGAAAAUUAUAAUUUCUUGUUCCUUUAAGAAAAUUUUAAUUUAAAAAAAAAUCUUUUUUUUUUUUUUCAGAAUAUAUAAUAUUCAAAAAAAUUAAUUUUAUUUUGAAAAUUAUACAAAAAAAAAAUUCAGAAAAUUAUUUUAAUAUUUUAAAAUUUAUUUUCAGAAUUUUUAUAUUGUUUAUUAAAUUUAUUUUCAUAUUUUUUAAUUUUAAAAAUUUAAUAUUAUGUGGCACGUCACGUCAACGCCACGUGACUAAAACCAUGUCAAAUCAGCUGAAUAGUGGGGUCAGGGACCUUUUUCAAACAAAAAAAAUAUUACAGGGAUGUAUUUCAAAAAAAAAAAUUACAGGAAAUCAAAACUGGACCAAAUUACAGAAACGAUUAUCAUAUUUAAGCCUUAAAUUUAUAAUGCAAAUACUUAUUAUAUAAAAUUAUAAUUGCAGUUUGUUGAAGACUUUUACAAUAGAGUUGGUUUAUGUUCUGCAGUUUGGGCAGAGUUAUAGGUUUUAAGAUUAGGUUCCUUCAAAAACAAACAAAAAAAGUUUUAAGAUUAGGCAUUAAGUUCGUCAAGUUCAAAUUAAAUAUCCCCUCAGUUAUAAUCUUUGAACUAGAUUCUACCUUAUUGGUUAAAAUGAUUGGUGGACCAUGGCCUAAUGUGUAUAUCCAAUCUUUUCUUCAUAGAUCAUUCCUCUUGUAGUUGAAGAACAUAUGUUAUUCACGUUUUAAGAAAAUUAAGAAGUUAACCAUUGUGGAGAUUUAUUAGCUAAUAAUGUCAUUUUAUCCAUUAAUUAUUUUGAUUGGGUACAAUCGGAUGAUAUUUUUCUUUCUUUGUGCAUUUUGUUAGCUGAUAUAAUAAUGUAAAGCCAGGGUCGUAGCUUGCCUUCUUUGAUUUUGUAAUUUUAUAAUUAUUUCAUCAAUAUAGCAUUCCUUAUUUGCAAAGUGUGCCAUUUCAAGAUAUUUAGGCAUAUAGCUAUAUGGAAAUAUGGAGAUAGCAACUGGUAAGAGUACAUAUACAUGAAAUAAUGCAAGCAAAGUCUAUAUAAACAAUGUAUAUAUUAUAGUAAUAGUGUUUGGCAACAUACUAUAUAUGAAAGAAAUUAUUUUAAUUAUGAUAUACAAUCACAAUUACGUUAAGAGUAUUUUAGAAGAAGAAAACACAUAACCAUGUGAAUAUCAAUGAAAAUCAUUUUAAAAGAAAGAAAAAUAAAUAAAACUUGUAGCUGCAUGCCUAGUCUUGCCAUAAAUCUAACACACUCUGUUUUCAGCUGAGGGACAAAUUGGUUUCCAUGUCCUAUGCAACUUGUUGAAAUAAUUCACUGUCUUUUAAAAAAUUGAGGGUGACAAUUACACUCAUACCUAUUAUUGAAGGUAAAUGAUGUCCAAGUACAUUACUACUAUUCACCUUAGAAUAUUUUAAAUUUACCAAACUCUAGUUUCAGAAAAAUACUAAUUAUUCUUCAAAAUAUAAAAUACUAAUUAAGAAUGGGCUGAAAUAUAUAUUACUAUAUUUAUUUAUUUGACGUCCUCGUGAGUUUAGCUCAGUUGGUAUAGACAAUGCAUAAUAUUAUAUGUAUUAGACACAUUUUUUUUUAGAACAUAAUUGUAUAUAUCAUUAUUGAAACAAAAAAACUUAACAUAACUAUAAUAUUUAUCAUCAACUAGCUAGAAAAUCAUGGAUACAUAAUGUUCUUUAAUACACGUAUUUUUUUUUACAACAGGGAUACACAUAUUUGUCAAAAAAAAACUAUUACUCACUUUAAUUACAGUUCUUGAAGCUACAUAUUUAAUGUGGUUAACCUAAUUACUUAUUUAUUUAUUUUUCUUCUAAUUUUUAUUGGCAUAAUUGGACCCUAGGUAAUACUUAUCCUUCAAUAUUUUUUUUAAAGAUUCUAAUAAUCAAAAAGGUAAAACAACGUAUAAUAUUUGUAUUGUAAAUUAAUUUAUUAUAUUAAUAUUUUAUUCUUUGUCAAAGUUUAAACUCGGAACAUUCAACUCAUUUUUUCUUAUCUCAAACCAGUUGAAUUAUCAUAUCCUUUGUAUUGUCAACACAUUAUAACGAGACCUAAGGUAAAUUUUAAGAUGAGGUUUUUUAAAGUUAAAAAAAAUGUUUUAGUAUAACUAUAUCUUUGUUUAGGAAAAAAAAAUUGACUAUUUAAAAUGAAAAAUCAUUUAUUAGAUCAUUACAGUUGAUUUUGUUUACCAUUUUAUCAAUCGAUAACAAAUUCAAAUUUUAUAUUUUUUGAGGAUUUAUAUUGAUCUAAAACAAAAACACCGGAUUUUAUAUCUCAUUUUUCUUUAAUCUCAGACUCUAUACAUGCCUCAACUGAAUGAUUGUGUACAUGUAGUGAUAAAUUUUGCUUGAAGCCAUCUCUUGCAUAUGCAACAUAAAGAAAUUCCAAAAUUGCUACUUAAAUGAUUUGGUCUAAUUAGCUCUUGUGAUUCUUUUCUUCUUCUAAUUGCUAUUUCCGUAGCAUUUUGAUUUCUCCAUUGGAUACCCUCAAACCAUGAUUUUGGCUUUCAUUAUUUUACUUUGUCAUUAGAAAUAUGAUAUUUGAUAGAAGGUUGUGACGUUAUUUGAUCCAUAUAUCCGACUCACUUUGUAGGAUAAGACUUGAUUGUUAUCGUAUUUUGUUUUUCUAUUUGACUCAAAGCAUGUUUGGUUCACAUUAUUAAAUUCAUUAUGCAUGACUAUUAUGGAUUUUGAGAUUAACUUUGGGGCUAGAGUGAUGUUUUGAGAAGUAAAUUUUGAGAAUUUAAAAUGUGUAAAUAACAUAAACAACUACAAGAACUCUGCUUGUAUUUAUUAUUUAUCAUUUCUUUUCAUUUAGUUACAUAGAUGAUAUUACAAAAGGACUUCGAACACUAUAUUUAUCAUUUCUCCAUGUAAUGGAUCCAAAUAGAUCUUCCUUUAGCGAGGUUAAAUUGGAGAAGAUAACUUGGUAGCUUAUUCUAUUGCUACUUUUUGUAAAUUGGAGUUUCUCUGGAAUCAAUUGGACUUUCACCCCACUAGGAGCAUCAACGAUGGCGGAGUAGACUGUUUCAUCCUCUUCACCGACGUUUGUAACAGUUCUACUUACAUUCACACUUCCUAUCCCAGUGAAGUUGGAGAUUGCUAUGGAAGGGUAAUUAAUAUUGGAAAUAUGAUCACGAGUCGAAUCCUUAGGGCAGUUGAAAUUAUCAGGGACAGUUUUUGAAAUAACCUUAAUAGUUGUUGUGUUAUAUCCUAUGUAACACAAGAAGUUCAAGUAGUCAAUGGUGCUGGUUUCAUAAACAAGACCUGGUCGGUAUGAUUCAGUUGGUGUUAUUUCACCUGCUCCAUAGUCAUAAGGUGUGGCAAUCGACCCUAAAUCUGUUGUAAUGGGAUCCUUCAAGUUGUUAACUUGAGUUGCUGAAUUUAGAAAAAAUAGGAAUUUAUGAGUUGAUAGAUAGGAUUACAUUUACAUACAUACAUUUUAUAGGGAAAUUGAGUUGACAGAUAUACCUGAGGUCAUGAUGGCUGAUCUAAUUGCGGAGGCACUCCAAGUAGGGUUUCUAGAUUUGAUGCUUCCUGCAAGGCCUGAAACAUGUGGACAUGCCAUGGAAGUCCCUGAUUCAAUGUUAUAUGGUGAUGGUUUUUUUCCUUUUGGAACAUUUUCUGUGUCAUUUCCAGUCCAUGCUGCAAGAAUGUUAACACCUGGUGCUGCGAUAUCGGGCUAACAAAAAAAGAAUUGUUGGUCUUGUUCAAUGAUAUAUGUUAUUUUUAAUCAUAUCUAUCUAUCUAUAUAUCAUUACCUUAAGAAUAUUCUUUGUAAGAUACGAAGGGCCUUUACUUGAAAAGAAUGCCGCCAUAGGUGCAGGCUUAGAAUCUAUGACCGUAACUGUUGGUAGAAUUGUUGCUACUGGAUUCCUUGAGAUUAAUCAUAUGCAAAAAUAAAAUAAAAAUAAAAUGCCGUUUUUGAUUUCCAAAUAAAAAAAACUUUAAAAUGCAUGCAUACCUUGUUGAAUUGGCGUAUUGGAGGAGUGUGGCAACAUCUUUUGAUCUUACCACUGUUGCUGGGAAGUCUCCAUAACUACGUAUCAUAGCUCCAUCCUGGUCAGUAAUAUGAACAAGACCUAAUCCACCCAUCCCUUGCACCGUUUUAAUUUUGUUAUUGGUUGAGUAAUCAUCAUCACUUAUUCCAUCACAAAUGACAAUCUUUCCUUUGACUUUUUUCUUAUUUAAUGAAUUUGGGUGACAUUGCCUGCAUUUCAAAAAUAAAUGUUAGUUUGUCUAACUUUAAAACAUUGUGGUUAUAGGAUUUUCAUUGACCAUAUAUAUACCUUGCUUCAACUAAGUCAGCGGUAGUUUUUUUGGCAGACUCUCCGGUUAUCAAUGGAUAUUUGGCGUAUUUUGAAAGUGGGGAAUAAUUUAUGGCUUGACCCUAAAGUACAACAAUUACUAAGCAUAAAAAAUAGUUGACACUUUUCAAAAUAAAAAGAUAAGAAUGGAACAUCUUAGAGUGAGCGAGCGCUAUAAAAUUGUACCUUGAUAACUUCUUUAUUACCCAAGACAACGUUGGACUGAAAUUCACGGUCAAUAGUUGUGGCACCAACGGUUAAUAUCCAAGGAGCAUCAUUAGUAAGUGUACUUCUCUCCGGUCCAGCAUUCCCGGCAGCGCAAACCACCACGAUGCCGCGCUCCACGGCAUGGAACGCUCCUAUUGCAAUCACGUCGGUUUUCAAGUCAGGUUCGGGAUCCGGACCCCCACCAAGAGAGAGUGAAAGCACAUCAACUCCAUCAGAAAUUGCAUCAUCGAAUGCCGCAAGGAUGGCCGAGCCUGAGCAAAACAUAUUGCACACUUUGUAAAUUGCCAACCUCGAUUCAGGGGACCCGCCUUUUGUCGUCCCUGCCGCAAGACCAAAGUAUGAUGCACCACUCACAACAUUCCCAGCCGCGGUCGAUGCUGUGUGGGUUCCAUGACCAUCCUUAUCCCUUGUUGUGCCCGGCACAUUAUCAUCAUCCUCAUCAAGGCGGUAAUAUCUUGCUCCUAUUAUCUUCCUAAAAAUUAAAAGAAAACAAGUUUUUUUUUUUUUUUUGGUCAAGUAGCCUAGUGGCUAGAGCUCACACAAUUUAAUUGUGGAGAAGUGGGGUGUCCGGGGUUCGAACCCCGGCCCCUGCAUAUAAUAUGCAAUAUCCCUACCAACUGAGUUAAACUCACAGGGAUAAGAAAACAAGUUUUAAUAAAUAAAAUAAAUUAUAGCAGUUGUUACUCUAAUGGACCCCAUAAACAAAGUAAACAUAGAUAAGUUUCAUCUGAUUUUCGAGGAAAUUCUAUACAAUUAAAACUUUCGGUUGUUUUUUGUUUGUAUUUUGCAAUAAAAUCUGAAUCAAACUGAAUUGACGAUAACAUGAUAUGUAUGUGUGUGUGUUAAAAUACACAUUUUAUAAAAUCUAUAAAGAAUUACAUUAUUUUUCUCGGAAAGAAAUUUAUAGUAAUUUUUAUCUAACAUUGUAUAUUUUUUAUGCUACUAAUGUAUAAUGAUUUAAAAACACAAAAUUAAAAUAUACUUUUCAAGAUAAUACUACUAAUAUAAUUUUUUUUUAUCAUGGAUAGUAACUUUCUUUGAAAAUUUAUGUAAUCAAUGCAUCGAAAAUUAAAAUAUUUGACUUUUUUAUAGAAUAAUUUCUUCUUUUAAAAUGCUAAAAGAAUGUUCUCAAAGACACUCGUUAACAAGACCCAAAAAAUAUAUAUACAUCAAAUCAAUUAAUUAAUUGGUUUGAACUAACUAUGCACAUUAAUUGAAACUUUUUUCUUAAUCCUAUGAUCUUCAAGAAAUGAGGUUCUCACGUUAUUGAACUUGAUCACUUGGUUGUUGGAUCUUCGUAUGAUCUUGUAGCCCUAAGUUUAUUUUCUUUUUAUUGCUUUUCUUUUGGGGGAUUGGACUUUUGACUUUUCUAUUGGGUUAUGCUGGCAAUUAAGUGGCCCAUAGCAUUAUUUAAGAAAGGAUUAAUUAAGUUUUUAGUCCCUAUAAAAAUGUUUACAGUUUUGUUUUUAGUCCCUACAAAAUAUAAAAUUACACUUUUUAGUCCCUGUGAUAUUUUCCUUAAGCAUUUUAAGGACCAAAAAUGUUGAUGGGAUUUUUUUAUAGGGACUAAAAAUGCUGAGGGAAAAUUUUAUAGGGACUAAAAGCACUAACGAAAAAUUUUGUAGGGACUAAAAAACGUGAUUUAUUUUUAUAUGGACUAAAAACAAAACUGCAGAUAUUUAUAGGAACCAAAAACUUAAUUAACCCUUUAAGAAAUAUAUAAAUGAAAAUAUUUAUUUUAAAAAUACAAAUUUAAAAUCAUAAUUACAUCAUUUUUCUAAAGAAAAGUCACUUCUUUUAAUUUUUUAAACAAUGUCCUAGAAAUAUUUGUUAGCAAUUUUCUUUUAUAUUUACCUGUUACAGUUGGAUGAGUUGAAAUCUUUUGAGGCCAUGCAUGUGCCUUUCCAACCGGGUGGAAUAGGACCCAUUCCCUUGUCUGAAAAACUUGCUGCUUCUGGCCAUAUACCUGAGUCUAACAUGCCGAUUACAACGUUUGAUGAUGAAGAAGUAGAAUUGAAGAGUGUAUUGUUAGUUUCGGCAUUAGUUUGCAAGUCGAGAAAAUCCCAAGAACGUGUUGUGUAAAGCUUUAGGAUGGGAUCCGGAAACACAGACACAACUCCAGGUUGUUGAGCAACUAAAUUUACUUCAUUUUUUGAUAAGCGGGCUGCGAAGCCUGAGAAUCCGUAUUUAUAGUUGUGUACUAGAGCUUUUUCAUUCCUAAACCAUUCAUUCACAUAUCAUCAAUAAAAUUAGUUAAUCACAUUUCACAAUAGUACUAGCUAAUUGAAUAUCAUAUAUAUUAAUUACCUUCUUAACACUGUGCUUAAAACAUAGGCAUGAUCUUUACGAAGGGAACCAUCUAUUGAAUCCGUAGCUCCCAUAUACACAAUAUAAAUUUGAUUUUCAUUCUUUGAUUUAUUAGCUAAGUAUGACCUUGACUCUCCAAGAAGAAGGAAGAGUGAGUAAAACACUAAUAUCAAUAAAAUUGGAUUUCCUUUCAUGUUUAUAAUUAAGUACUCUUGAAUUGAACUUAGUUAGUUUUGAUAGUAUGAUUUAAUUAGUUGAUGAGUAUGCUUAUUAGCUCCCCCUCGCACACAUUUAUAUAAGAAGCCACGGACUAGUUAAAGUAAAUAAGUUUAAUCAGUGCUUUAUUGUGUCAGCAUUGGUUUAUAUGAUUUAUGGUAACAUAGUAUUUCAGAAAGUUAUAUCAUCAUAAAGGCAUACUAAUAGUAAUAUGUCAUCGCUUAGCGAUAUCAUUUUACACUUGGGUUUAAUCAUAUUUUAUCAUAUACAGUAGGGAUUUUUUUUUUGUUGUUAAAAUCAUAUAUAGUAGGUUGUUUUAAAUUGUAAAUACUUUAAAUAAAUAAAUAGUUGGGCAAACAAUAUUUUGAAAUUAGGCUCCUUCAAAAACAAAAACAAAAAUAUUUUGAAUUUAGGCAUUAAGAAUUUAUGUUAUUCUUGUGUUAUUAUAGAAGCUAACUAUAGGGCAAUUUUACAACCUAAUUAACGUUAUUUUAUCCAUUAAUUUCUUUGAUUGGGUACAACAGUUUUGAUAUUUUUCUUUCUUUGAGCAUUUUAAUAGGUGAUUAUAAUGUAUAGAGCCGUAGCUUGCCGUGGUUGAGUUUGUAAUUUUAUCUUUCUUUUCAUCAAUAAUAACAUAAAGUGAAAUUAAAAAUCAAAAUGUUUUGGUGGAAUUAAUGCAUGCGCAUUGCUGGUAUAUAGGCUCAAGCACUACUAUAAUUCAUCACGCAAGUUUGUCAUUUGAAAAAAUAUAUAGUAGUUUGUCACAAAAGUUAUCAUUACUCUUCGAAGAAAUAUGUUGUUUUUUGUGCUAUAACCACAAUUAUAAACGAUAAUUUGAUACACAACUGCUCUGAAGUGGAGGUAGCAACUAGUUAGAGUAAAUAUGAUAUAAUGCAAGCGAUGUGUAUAUAAGCAAUGUAUAUAUAUUAGUAAUAAUGUUUGGCAACAUACUAUAUAUGAGUAUAUAGUUUUAAUUAUGUUAUAUAAACACAAUUACGAUAAGAAUAUUAUAGAAGAAGAAAACACAAACCGUAUGAAUAUCAAUGAAAAUUAUUUUAAAAGAAGAAAAAAAGAUUAAAAACUCUAGCUGCAUGUUGUCUUGCCAUAAAUCUAAAACACUAAUUUUAGGAGUCUUUUAGAAACUAAAGCAACCCCGUUUAUACUAACAAUAAUAUUGUGAUCUUGAGAUGAAAGAUGAAUUAGUUUCCCUAUCCUUGCAAUUAGUUGGAAUAAUUCAAUGUCUUUUUUAAAAUUGCGGGUAAUGUUAUUUCUAAUUAAAAAUUAUAACAAGCUAGUCAUAAACAUUUGGCAUUCACUAUAUCAUGACAGGUAAGUGGGAAUAAUUGUGUGCAAUUGUUUGCUACUGAGAAGGGAAGGUUAGAUCAAAAUAGAAAUUAAUCAUGUGCUGUUGUAAUUUGAAGGAAAUUAUAGCAAGGAUCGUGCUAAUUUGUGUUCUAAGAUACAUGUUAAGCAAUUUAAAAGUAGAAAUAUUUUCUUAAAUUUUGUGUAUUUAAUUAAUCGAAAGUAAAAAAAAUUAAAUCAAAUGCAUUAAUUGCAAUAAAUUAUUUCCAUUUUGACUUAUUAACUUGUAUCUUGAGGUAUAAGUUAGCAUUUCUUGUAUGGUAACCUUACUUGACAAGCAAAUUGGUAAAUCAUAUCCACAAGUUAAUUGAAUUCGGCCUGAAUGACCACUUUCUUAAAAUAAAAUUAUUUAUUAAAGGCAAAGUUUCCAUUGAUUAAAUGGGUUUGGUCUAUAUUAAGCUAAUUAAUACUAGGGAAUAUUUCAAAUAAAACCAAAAAAUAUUCCUUUCACUUUAGGAAUUAGUAUUUUCUUUUACAUAAUUUAUUUCCUCAAGUGUCGUAUUUUUAUUAGGGCAUUGGGAAGAGAGAGAAAAAAAUAGAUAUAUGAUUUCAAUUCCAAAAAACAUAUUCAAAAUGUUGGUAAAGUAUAUUUCUUAAAUCACUUUUAAAAAGGUUAGAGAUAUUUUAAAUCCUUAUAAAAUGCUUUUCAUCAACACGUUUGAAAGUCAAGAAUUUACUUUGGUGUAUGUGUUAUGGUUGUUUACCGACACGUGUCCGUUUGUUAGACAAAGGUGUUACUUGUCCGACUAAUUGUGCUAGUCACGCUUCUAACCACGAAGAUCGCAUGCAUGUUUUCUUUGAUUGUCCUUUUGCCAUACAGGUUUGGAAUAGGAACAGGUCUUUGGAGUUCUGUACAACAUGCAAUUUCUAUCAUUGCCUCAGCUAUGGAAGUUAUAUUUUACUUGUUAGAGAACUUGUAUGUUUAAUUAACACAACGUAUGUCAUCUGUAAUAUGGAGUUUAUGGAAACACCGCAAUCUCAGAGUAUGGGAUGAUGUAACACAAACAAGUGCCACGGUUGUUGAGCGUGCUCGGAACAUGGUUGAAGAUUGGCAAUUGGCUAAUGCUCCGGAUAUUCUUGUGUCUAGCUCGACACAUCAACCUCCAACGGCCUCCACCUCUCCUCAACAUCGAAUCAUGUGGCAGCCUCUCGUACUAGGAAGAUACAAAUGCAAUAUCGACGCGGCUUUCUCUUCUCACAUCAAUCGUACAGGUAUUGGUAUUUGUGUUCAGGAUGCAGAAGGUACGUUUGUUUUGGCUAAAGCUUUUAUAUACCCUUGUACGGUUUCGGUGAAUGUGGGUGAAGCCUUAGGGCUGCACUCCGCUAUGCAAUGGUUGAGUGAUAUGUAGUUUGACGAUGUGGAUUUUGAAACAGACUCAAAAUUAACAGUUGAUGCCUUCCUUUCUAGCAGGAACGACUUGUCCGAAUUUGGUUGCAUUAUUUCCUCUUGCCGUUCGUUGUUCAGCACUUUCUUUUCUAACUCUAGGGUGGAGUUUGUUAGGAGACAAGUCAAUGCGAUUGCUCAUGCUCUUGCAAGAGAAGCCACAUCUUUAGCUAGUCGUGUAGUUUAUUUUGAUAUUCUGAUUAUAUUGAAACUCUUAUUAUUAAUGAAAUGCUAUAAGCAUGUUUCUCUAAAAAAAAAUCAACAUGUUUAUCUCUAAUCAUAAUGCAACUUAUGCAAGUUCACGUGGCAACCAUGUGGAAAAAAUGGAUAUGAUAAUCCAUAGUUCAAACAUAAGGUCAAAUCGAUCCGGUUAAAAAUUGAACUCAAAUAUUUUCAAACAAUUCAUUUUUGAUGGAGUUUAUUAACUAUUUGAAUUGUUUGGUUUAUUAUCGUAAUUGAAAUAAUAUUAAGACCUUUUAAAAACAUUGUAUUUGAUGGUUUUGGGAUUGGAGAGUCAUGAAAGUUGAAACCAAUUACAACCGAAAUUGGGGAAUAUGAUGACCAAAGUAUUGAUGAAAAACAUUUUUGGAACCAAAAGCCGACAAAAGAAAUUCUAACGAUCAAAAACAAUUGUUAAUUUUUAAAUAUUAAAAACAUAUUUAACUCUUCUUCUUUUUUUAAAAAUUUUAAACUCUUAAAACAUGAUUCAAUAUCUUGACACAUUAUAAUCUUUUUUUUUUCGAAAAUUACAUGCACAAACAGCUAUUAUGAUAUAAUACGAUAAGAUGCUAGUUGAUAGUAAUAAUAUUGAACAUUUUGAAUUAGGUUUUUUUUUAAAUAAAAAAUCUCCAAAUUCUCAAAAUUAAUCACGUGAGCGUAGUUUCAAAAAUAAUAUUGAACUUCCUUCAAAAUAUAUAUAUUGAACUAACCAAACCAAGGCCAUAAAAACUUGAUAUUGAUGAUUUUUUGAGUGAUGCAACCAAACUGCGAUAGAAUUUUAAAAAAUUGAGGAUCAAAAGUGUUGUAGGAAAAUAUUUUUCAAUCAAAAAGUUAUUUUUUUGGGUACAAGUUCACCAAAUUUUUUAAUAAGGAUCUAAAACAAGAAGAAUGGGUUAUUUUAUAGAAAAAAAAAAUUUGAAGGGGGUAAAUUUUAUAGGAUUAAAACGCAGUUUAUAUAUAUAUAUAUAUAUAUAUAUAUAUAUAUAUAUAUAUAUAUAUAUAUAUAUAUAAAGAUCUUUUUUUGGUGGUGGUCGAAGUUUGAAACUCAAAUCUUACAUAUAUUAUACAUUGUUCUUACCAACCAAUUGAGUUAAGUUCACUGUAAUAUAUAUAAGGAUCUAAAACAAGAAUGGGUAAUUUUAUAGGAUUAAAACGUAGGUUUUUUUUUUUUGACGGAAGGACUAAAACGUAGAUAUUUUUACUAAAAAAGAACAUGAUUUCAAAAUCAUUUUUUUCCGUCAACAAAAACAUCUUUUACUUUUUGAGGGAAUGAUUUCAACAACUUAACACAUUAUAAUAUUUUUCAGAAAAUAACAUACACAAAGACAUACUUCGAUAAUGAUCGGAUGUCUAGCUCCUUCACAUUUUUCUUUUUUAUGUCCCUAUAAAUAGGCGUGUUUCUAACAUUAGUUCCUACUUAAAUUUUAUUAAAUUUUUUAUCCUGACGUUUUUUUUUGUUAGCAAAAUAGGUCAUCGUUGUUAAUUAUUGUUGAUUGAGCAAACGGUGAAGCACACGUGGAUGUCACAUCUGACUUUUUUUUUUUUGGAUUAAAUAUGUUUUUAGUUCCUAUAAAAUUGAGACAUUAUAAGUUUAGUACUUACUUAAUUUUAAUAGUUGUUUUAGUCCUUACAAAAAUAUUAUGCACUCAGUAUUAGUCUCUGCUCAAUUCAAAUUUGUUUAAUUUAUGCUUAAACUCUUACGUUUUUUAACAAUUUUUUUUCGACGUGUUAAGAACAUUACUAAAAGUUCCUCCGCAAAAUUUUAUUUAUAUGUCCAAAUUUUAUUACUUUUAUCUUUAACUUUUAUCGUUUUCAAAAAUUCAUAUUUAAUUCGUUUCAUGUUAAAAAAUUCUAAAUUUAGUAAUUGAACCUUUCAUAGUGUUCUAAACUUUUCUCAAAAAAAUCGUUCAAAAAUAAUUAACAAACUUUGUUUUAACAGGGACUAAAAUUAGAAGUAAUUUUUUUUUGUAGGGACUAAAAAACCUACUAAAACUAGUUAUGAUAGCAUUUUCAUCAUGAAAAGAUAUUUUUAACUAAUAACUACUCCAAAAAAAACUAUCAAUUCGGCAACAAAACCACUCAUGUCCAACAAUGCAAGAGAAGUCAUCAAUAAGAUAAUGAAAAUUGUGAAUAUUUUUGACAUUGGGAUAGCCAUUGCGCCCAUUUCGUCAAGAUAAAGAAGACGUAGUUUAUCAUAACUAGUUCCUACCAAGAAAAAAAAGGGGUAGCUCCAAUAAAUCCAUGAGAUAUUAUUUGUAAAACGGCCCCGCUGAGCCCAAUAUCAUUUAUAGAACCAAUUCCUAGAAUUAUGAAACUUAUAUGAGAUACUGAAGAAUAAGCUAUUCUUUUUUUUAAAAUUACGUUGACCAAAAGAUAUUCAAUCGGCAUAGAUUAUUUGAAUAUAACCUAAUAUCAUUAACCAGAGGCAAAAUAUCAAAUGAGCGUGGGAAAAUAAUUUCAUAUUAAUUCGAACCAAACAUAAAUAUAAUUAAUUCGAACCAUUACAGAAGUAGUGUUUUUUACUGCAAAUUUACUUGAAACUUAAAUAUGUUUUGGCAAUCCCACAAGUGAUUAUAGGAACAUUAAAUAUCAUGCGAGAAAGUGACUAAGUGGGUAAUCAACAUAACAUGAAAUAUUUCUUUCAAAAAAAAAAAACAUAACAUGAAAUACUAAUCAUAUGCAUUACUAAGAGCAUUACACCACAACAUUAAUGGAUAAUCUCAUGACAAACAAACUUGUGACGUGUGCCUUGAAGUUUAAGCCAGGAACUUUCCUUGCCUAAGACAGACAUAGCACCAAUGAGCACAAAAUAAAAAAACAUAACAUGUUCUUAUUAGUGGUUAAUUCAGCUAAAUGGUCUGAACUUACCACAUCCAUUUCGGACACCACUUGUGUACCAUUGGGAUACCAAUGUUAUAUAACACUGACCAAUGAAAGUGUGCCACAUAGCAGUUCACAUGCAUAUUUUUUCUAUUUCCUCUUUAGACAUUCUUAUGUGGUAUGCCUUCAUUGAUCAAUGUUAUAUAACAUUGGUAUCCUAAUGGUACACAAGAGGUGUCCCAUCCAUUUCAAUUCGAUCUUAACCAUCAUCACAACUCCAUGCCUUCUAUCCAAAUGUUGUUGUGAUCCUUGAGUAACUUGACUACACACGGUAAACAAAAUGGACUUCCUUGUAACAUGAAUUCUCCCUCCAACAAUUAUAAUAAAACUGGCCAAAAAAGUGUCUAAAGAACACUCUGCCAAACAUGUUUAUAGACAACAUUGGUGUCUUGUGGAAUAAGUCUCCUGUCAAGAACAACUUUGAUAACAGUGUAGUAUAGAAAUGAAAGGUAAGGUCAACAGAUCAACCGAUGCAAAUGAAAUUCAACAAAUAACUCAAUAAAUAAACUCAAGCUCAAUUUAUCAAAGUCAUUUCAAUUGGUAAAAUAUUUUAAUUACAAGCUAUACAAAACCAAAAAGAUCUGCAUCCGUCAAAAUUCUAAAUUUUUCCUUUCUAUUUCUAAUCAGUUUCUUUUUGUCUAAGACCAACAUAAUUCCUUGAAAUUCUUAUUUGUUAAACUACUUGACUUGACUCAACUACUAUCAAAAUCGAUCCGGGUGGUCAUGAAAGAAUUGAACGUUCAAACCUCCUUUUAAAAUUAAGACUAACACAGUUAAAUACUAUAAUGGGUUAGAUAUCGUUGGUUGAGGUAAAUGUAUUGAGUUUUAAUUGCUGCCCCUAACUAUAUAGAGAGCCAGGACUAAUAGGACGACGACUCUCCUGCAGAGUCCCCAUUAGUGGUAGUUUUGGAAUUUUUAAGCACAGUGGCUUCAUCCAGUGUGAUCUUAUCAAAAUCAGCAAUUAUGUUCUUGCAAGUUGAUCCAAACAGAGGAUAUUGAACUAGAUCCAACUUGUUGGUAAACAGGGGACAAAAACCUCGCCCACUCUUUGCGCUUCCUCAGUUUGUCACCCUGUAGCAAAUUUCAGAAUAAUAGAAAUCCAAUAAAAAACUUGAAAUAAAAAUUGUAAACAUUUGAAAAUGUGCUAUUGAAAUGUACUUCAAAACUAUACUUCCACCACAAAUAGAAAAUACAAUAGAACAAUAACAACUUACAUUUACUUCCACAACCGACGAAUUUCUCAAUGAAUCAAGUAUCAACUCGAUAUUGUUUGUCAAAUUUUUAACCUGUAAGAAAUAAAAAUAUGAGAGAAAAAACAACACUACAAUACUUUUUUUUGAAAACUAACAACACUACAAUACUUAAUACUCCCUCCGGUCCUAUUUAUAAGAAACAUUUUACUUUUUUGAUUCAUUGCAUAAAUGAUGUAUUUGGUAUACAUUCUAUACCAAGUACAUUAAUUAUUCAAUGAAUUUAAAAAGUCAACUUUUUCUUAUAAAUAGGACCGGAGGGAGUAGUUAAAAUUUGAACACUAACGGUGCUUGAAAACCUAUUUGCACUUGGUAGUACAAUGGUCAAUGAUCAAUUCACGACAUAUAGAUUAAACAGUUAAAAGCUCAAUUUACUUUGUGCAGAUGUUUCAUAUUUUUUUAACAAAAUCCAGUUUUUAUUUUGUUUUUUUCUUAACUCCUUUUGUUAUGUAAUAGUAUUUCAACAUAACUGCAUCUCAAUUCUCAAGUAAGUUGCUUUAUGGUUAACUAAAAAUGAAAUUCUUCUUCAUAGGUAACGAUACAUAUUAAAAAAAAAAAACCUACCAAAAGCAAAUGGCUAGUGAAGAUUCUACAUAGGUAACGAUACAUAUUAAAAAAAAAAUCUACCAAAAGCAAAUGGCUAGUGAAGACCUAAAAUUACGCAAUCGUGAAAUCAAAAGGUUAUCAGAUAUCAACAAUAUAAAUAAACUCUAGCUAUAAAAUAUCAAUUCCGACAUAGUAUACAUGUAUGAUAUAUCGAAAGCUCACCAAACAACCACGUUUAACUUACCCGCGGGAAGUUUGCAAUCAAAGAAACUGGAACCCAACCAUGUUCGUCCAUGUUCGAUUUCAGAAAUUCGUCAUUCGUCAAAUUAACAUCACUAUCAAAAAAGAAAUAAGUAAUGAAUAGAAAUUCAACUCAAAACAUUAUUAUUUCUAGACAGAUCAAGUAAGUGAAGUAAGAAAUCACCUAAAGUAAUAAUCAAUUUGUUUGAGUAUUAUAUUGGUCGGGGGAGUAGUGGGAGGAGUUUCUUCUGCAACUGGAAAGAACAUCGCCGGAGGAGGUGGAUGGGUUAAGAAUGGCAUACCUCCAAAAGGUUCAAAUUGUAGUGUAGGAUAAUAAUAGAAUUCUAAAAAGAAAGCAAAAGACAAAGCAUUAGUUGUGUCUUGUGGUGGAAAUAAAAUUGAACAAACAAAUUGAUAAACUGACCAUGAAACCCUGCAGGGUUUAGAAACGGUCUCAUAGGCAUAGGCUGAGACCCUAAAUAAGCAGAAUUGGGUAGUGUAGGCCUCAGAAACCCCUCCGAGUGCAUCCUAUGUUGGGGUGGAUGAGCAUCUCUAGUGUUCAUUGUAUUUCCUGGAUCUUGAUUGCGCCUAGUGCCAUAAUUGUUACGUGGACGGUGCCCAUAAUUACCCCUGUGACUGUGCUCAUCUACAGGCAGCCCAUAACCCCCAGCUGGUGAUCUUGGACCCCAACCAUUAUUGUUCUUGUACGACUGAACCCCGUCAACCAAGAAAGUAUUAGGAGUGAUCUGAAGCACCGGAAAUGGUGGGGCAACCGAUGGUUGAUGAUUGACUUGAGGAGGGUUAGAUAAAUUGUUCGACAAAGGACCAGGCUCAUUGUUGUUACCUCCUCCGCGCUCCAUCGGUUUUUGUUGUCUAUUAGACACACUAUGACUAUGAUUCAUUGGAGGAGUAUGUCUUGCAUUAGCAGCAGUGGCAGUGGCUUGUUUCUGAGGUGAGUUUGAUAUAACAGGCCCCUACAAAAAUAACAGCGAAAACAUAUAAUUCGAAAAUAAAGAGAUUGAUGAACCUCUGAACACCUCUCAUAGUUAUUCCAUAAAUUAGUUCUAAUGUCAUAUUUACCACCAUUUUUUCAAGAUAAUCAAAAAUCAAUUAUAUUCCAUCCAAAAAAACAAAUCGAUUAUUAUUCUUUCAGUCAAAAUGAAAAUAAAUGAAUACAUUUUAUCUAAAAACUAAAUGAACAAAAAGUAAUAUAAUUAGGAGGUUGAUCCUAACCUGAGAAAUGGAGAUUGAUCCGGCACCAUCGACGGCAGAGAUGGAAUCAGAUGUCAGUUUAGCAGAAGGCUUAGCAGACAAAGCAGGCCAAGAGACAGCACCCAUUACAGGACUGACCUCAGCAACAACGAGGCCAUUGGAUGUGUUCUUCCAAGCGGGUUUUUUAGGGUUAGCGUUAACCACAUUGUUAAUCUUAUCGGCAUUGGAGUUGUUGUUAUCUACGACAACAACAGCAGCAGUAAUAGCAGCAACUAGAUUGGCUGAAUCGAGAGACGAUGAUGAAGAAACGGAAUGUGGCGGAUGAUUAUUGAGUGGUUCGGAGGAGGAGGAGGAGGAGUCAGCACCGCGAACAACCUUAGCCCACGGAGAAGUGAGGUUUUUUGGCGGGAAAUUAGAGGAAGAAUCAGGUGCAUUGGUAGUAACCAUUGCCAAUUAGGGUGUUCUGAUUCGAUAUAGAAAGUAUUGAUCGAAUCGAUCGAUCAGUGUAUGGCGAAAUGAAUGAAAAAACAAAUAGCCAUAUCAAAAGGAUUAGGGUUAGGAUCUUAGUUGCAGAGG